RNAcentral lists this ribosomal RNA (446 nucleotides) under uncultured bacterium. Its description in RNAcentral is "partial 16S ribosomal RNA". It matches the Rfam family "Bacterial small subunit ribosomal RNA", at positions 338 to 795 of the family's 1533-position model. The record is from RNAcentral.
CCUACGGGGGGCAGCAGUCGAGAAUCAUUCACAAUGGGGGAAACCCUGAUGGUGCGACGCCGCGUGGGGGAAUGAAGGUCUUCGGAUUGUAAACCCCUGUCAUGUGGGAGCAAAUUAAAAAGAUAGUACCACAAGAGGAAGAGACGGCUAACUCUGUGCCAGCAGCCGCGGUAAUACAGAGGUCUCAAGCGUUGUUCGGAAUCACUGGGCGUAAGGCGUGCGUAGGCUGUUUCGUAAGUCGGGUGUGAAAGGCGCGGGCUCAACCCGCGGACGGCACAUGAUACUGCGAGACUAGAGUAAUGGAGGGGGAACCGGAAUUCUCGGUGUAGCAGUGAAAUGCGUAGAUAUCGAGAGGAACACUCGUGGCGAAGGCGGGUUCCUGGACAUUAACUGACGCUGAGGCACGAAGGCCAGGGGAGCGAAAGGGAUUAGAUACCCUUGUAGUC